AAUCAACGCUGGCGGCAUGCCUAACACAUGCAAGUCGAACGCGAAAGUUCCUUCGGGAAUGAGUAGAGUGGCGUCCGGGUGAGUAACGCGUGGGUAAUCUGCCUUUGGGUGGGGAAUAAC
This 120-nucleotide ribosomal RNA is filed under the name uncultured bacterium. RNAcentral describes it as "partial 16S ribosomal RNA". It matches the Rfam family "Bacterial small subunit ribosomal RNA", at positions 32 to 147 of the family's 1533-position model. The record is from RNAcentral.